AUGCCCCGCCGCAGCCAGAGCAGUGCCCCCAUCGACCUCGACGAANNNNNNNAGUGCAAGACCAAGCGCUCUCGAGCGAGUAUAAGGCCAGCACCGAAGGUGCCUGGGAGCUCAAAUCGCAUUGCAAGUAGCAGAAGGGACAAGGAAAAUCAAGACAAACUGGAUACCCGUAUCUUCGAUUUAUACAUGGNGAACCUUUGGAAGCGUACAGAUGAAGAUCAGAAGAAUGCUUGCGCAUAUUUGGAUCCAUUAUGGUUUAACAGUUACGUUAAUGGGGACAAAGAACAGAAAUCAAGAAUUCUUAGAUGGACAAAGAAAUUGAAAAUAUUUUCAAGAAAAUAUGUGUUUGUCCCUAUUGUUCGUUGGGGACAUUGGAACCUCCUUGUCCUAUGCCACUUUGACGAGACAGACUGCUCAGAUGCAAAAAAAGGACCGCGAAUGCUGCUGCUGGAUUCACUUAACACAACAGAUCCGAAGAGGUUGGCACCUGAAAUAAGAGGAUUCAUUCGUGGUAUUUAUGAAAUCGAAGAGCGGGAAGAAAGUGUGCACUUCAUAAAAAAAAUCCGUCUUGAGUUUCCUAAGGUGCCACAGCAAAAUGGGGAGGAAUGUGGUAUAUAUGUUCUUUACUUCAUCCACUGUUUUCUUCAAAACGGAAAAUUGGCAGAAGUUCUUCGGAAUAAAACACUGGAAGAAGAUUUCAGCCAGCUGUUUGAUGAUGGCACCUUUGAUCCAGAGGAACUAGAGAACUUCCGCAAGGAUGUUCAUGCAUUCCAAGUGGAAAGGAGUACCGAAACUGGACAGUAG
Molecule: ribosomal RNA, 804 nt
Filed under: Triticum aestivum (bread wheat)
Lineage: Eukaryota; Viridiplantae; Streptophyta; Magnoliopsida; Poales; Poaceae
Description: partial small subunit ribosomal RNA
Source: RNAcentral